Molecule: long non-coding RNA, 511 nt
Filed under: Cricetulus griseus (Chinese hamster)
Lineage: Eukaryota; Metazoa; Chordata; Mammalia; Rodentia; Cricetidae
Description: lncRNA (ENSCGRG00000024845.1)
Source: RNAcentral
ACUGGAUUCGGGGAUCUCCAGAGCUGGAAUUCCCCUUUUGGAGUCCCUCCAAACUGAAACAAGAGGCGGGCCUUUUGUAUUCUCACAUCGGGCAAUCUUUGGAAAAUAGAAUCACUCUCAAAGAGGUUGUAAGAGAAGCCCAGCUUCCCUGUCUGGUGAGGUCAUUCCCGGUAAAGCAUGCAAGGGGAUUCCUAGCAAUCCCAAGGGUGAGACUGCAGAAGGGACCCACUUGGGGCAGAAGGGCCUGGCUGAGAAUGAAAUGUGAGCCUUCUUCCAGCUCCUGUGUCAGAACAGCAGAGAAAGGAGCCCAGGAAUAUGGUGAGGGACCACGGAGGUUCAUGUCUGGAAUUCUGCCUUAACCCUGCCCCAUCUGUCAUCUUAACAGCUAUUGCUUUUAAAUAACUUUAUAGGUAGCCAGGCCUGGUGGCACAUGCCUGUAAUCCUGGAUACUUGGGAGGCUGAGGGAGAAGGAUUGCAAGUUCAAGGUCAGCCUGACCUAAGAAGAUUGAGC